AUUGCUUCUCGGCCUUUUGGCUAAGAUCAAGUGUACUAAUUUUUAGUCAAAUUGAUCAUAGACACUGUAAUUAUAUGUUUUAACUUUAUAAUAUCUUGUGCAGUGUUUGAUGGACUUAAA
This 120-nucleotide small nuclear RNA is filed under the name Rattus norvegicus (Norway rat). RNAcentral's name for it is "U2 spliceosomal RNA". It matches the Rfam family "U2 spliceosomal RNA". Rfam says of the family: U2 is a small nuclear RNA (snRNA) component of the spliceosome (involved in pre-mRNA splicing). Complementary binding between U2 snRNA (in an area lying towards the 5' end but 3' to hairpin I) and the branchpoint sequence (BPS) of the intron results the bulging out of an unpaired adenosine, on the BPS, which initiates a nucleophilic attack at the intronic 5' splice site, thus starting the first of two transesterification reactions that mediate splicing. The record is from Rfam by way of RNAcentral. Lineage: Eukaryota; Metazoa; Chordata; Mammalia; Rodentia; Muridae.